GACGAACGCUGGCGGCGUGCUUAACACAUGCAAGUCGAACGGAAAGGCCCUGCUUUUGUGGGGUGCUCGAGUGGCGAACGGGUGAGUAACACGUGAGUAACCUGCCCUUGACUUUGGGAUAACUUCAGGAAACUGGGGCUAAUACCGGAUAGGAGCUCCUGCUGCAUGGUGGGGGUUGGAAAGUUUCGGCGGUUGGGGAUGGACUCGCGGCUUAUCAGCUUGUUGGUUGGGUAGUGGCUUACCAAGGCUUGGACGGGUAGCCGGCCUGAGAGGGUGACCGGCCACAUUGGGACUGAGAUACGGCCCAGACUCCUACGGGAGGCAGCAGGGGGGAAUAUUGCACAAUGGGCGGAAGCCUGAUGAAGAAACGCCGCGUGCGGGAUGACGGCCUUCGGGUUGUAAACCGCUUUCGCCUGUGACGAAGCGUGAGUGACGGUAAUGGGUAAAGAAGCACCGGCUAACUACGUG
Molecule: ribosomal RNA, 468 nt
Filed under: uncultured bacterium
Lineage: Bacteria
Description: partial 16S ribosomal RNA
Rfam family: Bacterial small subunit ribosomal RNA
Source: RNAcentral